Long non-coding RNA from Prinia subflava (tawny-flanked prinia), 3634 nucleotides. RefSeq lists it as uncharacterized. The transcript is spliced from 3 exons. NCBI's taxonomy places the organism in Eukaryota, Metazoa, Chordata, Aves, Passeriformes, Cisticolidae. The record is from RefSeq and is a predicted model, not a curated record.
GGGGUUUCCCAGUUCAGGUCAGGACCAGGGCGGGCGUAUGGCUGGAGCGAUGGCGGCGGUGUUCGCUCUACCUCCUCCCCCGGUUCGUGCAGGAAGACAUGGAAUGGGAGUUCUGGUCAGUUCAUGGUGUCACCACCAUUUCUAACUGGCCCAGCCUUGGCCUGCAGCCGGUCCAUCCUGGAGCCGGCUGGCGUUGCCUCUGCAGGACACGGAGGAGCAGCUGCUUCCAGCAGCCUCUCACAGAAGGCGCUCCUGGAGCCUCCCCUUAGCAAAAUCUGGCCAUGCAAACCUAAUAUAAUAUUGUAGGGUUUUAUUACCAUUAUGAAUUCUUAUUAUUGCUAUUAUCUUUUUUUGCAAAUAAUGUUACAGUUGUUAUUAGUGGUGUUUUUAGUCUUUUUGACUCUUUGUUAUAGUUUUGUCUUGGAUUAUGUAACCAAAAGUAUGUGUAUUCUAUUUCAUCUCUUGAAUCCAGUUGGGGAGAUGGUUUUUCUUCCUUUAUCUCUUGUAACUCAGGGGGCAGUGGGGCAGAUGCUUUCUGAUAAUAGACCAGCUGUAAAACCAGGUGGGGCAGUGUUUCUUAUCUCUUCCACCACUGUGGGGGAGGUGGUGAUAUCUUCUGUUAAUGGGCCAUUAAGGCUCACCAAUCACAUGACACAUUACAUCAUCCCAUUGUGAGAUGCUCCACCCUUUGUUGUGGGGGAGCCAGCCAUUGCUACCAAGAUAAAAAGUGAGAUGUAGGAACACCAAGCAUCCCCAUUUCCACUGGAUUCUCAGAGGAAGACCAGACUCAUCUCAUCGCCACUACAGGAUCAUCUCUAAUCCGACAGAACCACAUCUGUCACUCCCGAAGAACUUAGGUGGACUGCUUCCAACACCCUGGCUGACAGGGUGUCAGGUCAUAUUUCUGACUCAGUCAGGGCUUUCUAUGACUUUCAUUUGUUUGUUUACUUGGUAUUGUUUGUAUUACUGCAUUUGCAUUUUUAAUAUUCCUAGUAAAAGACUGUUACUCCUAUUCCCAUAUUUUUGCCUGAAAGUUCCUAAUUGCAAAACUGUAAUAAUUUGGAGGGAGCAGUUUUUACAUUCUCUAUUCCAAGGGAAACUCCAGUUUUCCCUGACAGUUACCUGUCAUUCCAAACCAACAGAAGUGGCUAUAGUAGAACUUGAAACAAAAGCUCUUAAUUGCAAUUAGAAGUUAUAAUAUACCCUAUUCUGUGUCAUUGCUCUGUGUGAAGCAGCUGCUGCCAGGGCUCCCUAUUUCCCUGGUUUGGGAAAUUUGAUGGCAUUGCUCACAUGUCAGAAAGAGAGGGCUCAUUCCAAUCAACUGGAUUGCCUGAGCUCUUCUAGUCCCAGUGUUCAAAGGUUGUUUUCUGACCUUGUUGACUUUCUCAGCUUCUCUUAAUAUUUGUGAUUUUAUACCAAAGUGUUCUGGGAUGCGAUUUUGUAAGAUUCUGUAAUCUGCUGUGUCUUUUGCUCUUGGAUUUCUUAGUGGUGUGUCAGGACUGAAGGCAGCAUUUUAGGUGGGAAGCCUUCAGUGUGAGAUAGGAUUGUCUCGGCAGCAGCUGGAUUUGCAGAUCUAAGCAGAGCUGACAAAGAUUCCAUGAACUGAAUAUUCUGUCAGGUUGUGGAAGCCGCAGUGUCCGGCUCGAAGGAGGUGCGGUGGGAGGUGCGGGUUGUGCAGGACUCCGGUGGGCAAUGGCCGGAGCCCCCGGCAAGGGGCCGGCAAUGGACACUGGCCCUUUGCAGAGCAGGGGCUCGGGGCCCUGCGGCGCCGGGCGGUCGGUGCCCGGUGAGCCCGGGACUGUGCGGGAGCCGGGAAGAGCGAGAGAGGCCGGGCCAAAGAUCAGCACCGGGGCAGGCACGGUCUGGGAGGGGGCACAGCCCAGGGGCCCGCAGAGCCUCCCUGCUGCAAAGCCGCACCUGCGACAGCGGGGCAGCUGCUGGGAUCUUUGGGGCAGGGAGGAGGCAGUUGAAGCAGUGAUCCUGAAGAAAGAUCUGGUAGGUCUUUUGCUCUGGGAAUCCAGUGGGUAAGGCCUGCUGUGCUGUCCCAAAUCCCACAUUAUAUCCAGGUGGGAAUGCUUGGCUCCUCCCCCUGGGUGGAGCAUCUCACAAUGGGCAGAUAUCAUUCUAUGAGUCAUGCAGUGGGUCCUUGAUUGCCCAUAAAACAGAGAUAGCUCCUAGAGGGAGUUACCUGUGAGUCAUGGGGCAAGGUCUGGAUGGCCCAUUAACAGAAGAUAGUCUGGAGGAGGGGGCAAGGGAAACACUGCCCCACCUAGUUUCAACAGAUGGUGAAGAUGGUGAUAGAAUACAUACUUUGGGCAUAUCUUACACUAUAACCUAGGACAAAAUGUUUUGUAAUUACCUGUGAUCAUAGCAGUAAGGAGCUAUCCCAUGCCUGCCCGCGUCGCAAUAAACAUACACUUUCUAACUUGAUCUGGUAGAGAGUUUUUGUCUGUCACAGUUGGGUAUCGAUAUGAGAUCAAUAUUCAUAUUUUAAUAAAUCAGUACCCCUGGAGCCCCUCUGACACCCAGCUGGGGAGCGCAGAGAAGGGGAAGCUCUGGGAUUGCCAGGAGCCCCAGUAGCCCAGAGAGAGGGGAUACCAAUAGACACUGGAGCUGCAGAAGCCCAGACAGCAGGGACCCUCUGAACCCCAGUGUGGAGAGACCAGAGGCAGGAAACUCCUGGGUAGAUGAUUUUUUGCUGAAUCUCAGUGGUUUGGGUGUUUUUUGAGGGUGGCUGGAUCUUGGUGGUCUAGAAGUUUUUAUGGACACCAGACAUCUGGUGACUUCUAGAAAUGGACUUGGGCAGGACAAACACCCAAGCCAAUGCACUCACACCUUAUUUGCCCCCCCCCCAACCAGAAUUCCAUUUCCCAAAGUUUGGCCAGAUGGAGGAGGAGGCUGCAAGGAAGAAGAAGAUGGCCCAGAAGCCCCAGUCAUGUGAGGCUUUCCCCCUCUCCUGCUCCAUCUCCCAGCCCAGCUUGGCCCCUGGCUGCAGGAUAUGAAAAAUGAAAGUUCAGUCUUUAGAACAUUUUUAAAAGUUUAAUUAGGGAAUGCUAAUGGACAGUCUCCAGCUCUGGGGUGUUCCUGGCUAUCGGUCAAAGAACACCAAAGGAAGUUAAGACAGUGUUACCUAUACACUGUUACUUUACUGAGGUACAUAUGUAUUGGUAAGUUUCAUGCAUUUUUCAAACAUUUUUGGAAGCUUUUGAUGUGGCAGGAACUCUCUGUUAUUUUAGUUUUACUCUCUGACUUAUCUGCAUGACAUCCUGCAGAUGACGUCAAUAUAUUUAUUGCUUUUUGUGGUUUCAUCCUGUUUUUUCACAUUUCCUUGAUAAAAUGAGUUAACAAGUUCUUUUCUAAUUCUCCUCCAGUGCUCUGGUUUGUGUCAAUGUUAUCACUUGGAGAGGUCAGUCAGUAGGUGUGGGAAACAACAUCAUUGGUUUAUUUAGUUCUCUUAGUUCUAUAGAAGUAUUUUAACAUUCUAUGUUUUACUAAGGCCUGCAGUAUCAUACAUUCACCACACCAUUAUUUCUUUAAACUAUAUGGUGUAUACUUAGAUCUAAUAUAUUCAUGACACUACUAUUUGCUUGGGCUAUACAGUGCAUACUUAGAAUGAUAGAUUAUGUUAUAUUAG